CAGACACCCUGUCCUGCAUCCCCGAGCACGCGGGGUCGAGCAGCCAGAAUCGCCGCCGCCACGACACCACGUCCUGCAUCGCAUGCGACCCCUGCUGCCACCAGAUCGGCCCGGUCUUACAUCGCCGGCGAGCGCCGCGCCACCAGGUAGGUCCCAUCGUGCGUCGAGGGCGAGCACCGCCGCUACCAGGUCGGCCCUGUCGUCGUCGUGGACGAGCGCCGCCGCCACCAGGUCGGCCCCGUCGUGCGUCGCCGGCGAGCGACACGGACACUAGGUCGACACAACAUUGAGAGACGUCAUCACCAAUCUCGCCGCCAGAUAUGAAUGGUCAAGCGCUGGCGAGGACAUGAUUUCGAAGUACAUUACUAUUAGUAGUAAUGUGCCGUACCAUUCAGUUCAUUCAUUCUUUGCACCAUGCUCUGUCAGGCUCAAAGUGUUGUGCCGUACCAUUUAGUCCAUUCUUUCUUUGUACUAUGCUCCAGACAGUUAUCCAGACCUACAAUCUACAAACAAAGUCAUACAAGUUGCAAGUAGAAUCCAUGCUUGUUUGCUCAAAUAGCAGACAAAUAUAUGAUUAGAAUAGAGUGAGGGUUCAUGAAAUCCGUGAGACAUAUAUGUUAUUAAUCAUUUCACCUUCUUUUACAUCAAUCCCAACUUUGAAAGUUGCUUUGAAUUUCUUCGACAUUUUCACUUUAGAAAUCUCAAAACCAGUCCGAAAGCAAAAUGAAGCAACAGAAAGAAGGCUAACCUCAGCUUCUGGUUUCCUUAGACUCAAGCAUUUAAUCGCAGGUAUUUGUUUAUACCAGAAUUCCUUCUUCUUUAAUACAAAUUAUAUUAUUCAACUUGUGGGUUAAACUGACACAUUAUACUAGUCAACCUGCACAAAAAUUUAAAAAUUAACAAUGGACCAAUGCAUUUGGAAACAGGAACUAGACAGAGUUGAAGUUGCUCCAGCUGUAACAUGCGCAUGUUUAGACUUUACAAAAGUGAGUGAACUUGCUGGGCAAGUGUGGUUCUAAUCGAAUAAACAGCAAUAGCAAAAUGGGAAGGCAUGUCAAUGCGCACCAAAUUUCACUUUGCUUCAUACUUUGUGCUAUUCUAUGCUUUCGACAACAUCUCCAUACUAACAAGGUCAAAUUCUAGGUGUCCUCCAUGACUGUUGACGCACAUUGCUGAUGUUAUCUUCAUUUCCCGGAUAGUAGCAUCAAGCGAGGCACUCUGUUCUUCUGCUUCCUCCAAAGCAAUAGACAUGGAAGUCAAGCUCUCAGUCAGCCCAGUUAUCUCUUGCUUGCGGACAUGGAUUUUCUGCAGAGCCUCAUACAGACAGCUCUUCAUUGAACUUGGCUUGCUUUUGAACUCCCAAGAUCAGCAACUCUUGCUGGGUUGUAGUUUUGCUAUGUUAUUA
Long non-coding RNA from Lolium perenne, 1405 nucleotides. RefSeq lists it as uncharacterized. The record is from RefSeq and is a predicted model, not a curated record. NCBI's taxonomy places the organism in Eukaryota, Viridiplantae, Streptophyta, Magnoliopsida, Poales, Poaceae.